GACGAACGCUGGCGGCGUGCUUAACACAUGCAAGUCGAACGGUGACGAGGAGCUUGCUCCUCUGAUCAGUGGCGAACGGGUGAGUAACACGUGAGCAACCUGCCCCAGACUCUGGGAUAACAGUUGGAAACAGCUGCUAAUACCGGAUACGAGACGGAGAGGCAUCUCUACCGUCUGGAAAGUUUUUCGGCUGGGAUGGACUCGCGGCCUAUCAGCUAGUUGGUGAGGUAAUGGCUCACCAAGGCGACGACGGGUAGCCGGCCUGAGAGGGCGACCGGCCACACUGGGACUGAGACACGGCCCAGACUCCUACGGGAGGCAGCAGUGGGGAAUAUUGCACAAUGGGCGAAAGCCUGAUGCAGCGACGCCGCGUGAGGGAUGAAGGCCUUCGGG
RNAcentral lists this ribosomal RNA (393 nucleotides) under uncultured bacterium. Its description in RNAcentral is "bacterial SSU rRNA". It matches the Rfam family "Bacterial small subunit ribosomal RNA", at positions 28 to 422 of the family's 1533-position model. The record is from RNAcentral.